This 771-nucleotide ribosomal RNA is filed under the name uncultured bacterium. RNAcentral describes it as "bacterial SSU rRNA". It matches the Rfam family "Bacterial small subunit ribosomal RNA", at positions 8 to 796 of the family's 1533-position model. The record is from RNAcentral.
AGAGUUUGAUCCUGGCUCAGGACGAACGCUGGCGGCGUGCUUAACACAUGCAAGUCGAACGAUGAAGCCUUUCGGGGUGGAUUAGUGGCGAACGGGUGAGUAACACGUGGGUAAUCUGCCCUGCACUCUGGGACAAGCCCUGGAAACGGGGUCUAAUACCGGAUAAUACCUGCCGAGGCAUCUUGGUGGGUUGAAAGCUCCGGCGGUGCAGGAUGAGCCCGCGGCCUAUCAGCUUGUUGGUGAGGUAGUGGCUCACCAAGGCGACGACGGGUAGCCGGCCUGAGAGGGCGACCGGCCACACUGGGACUGAGACACGGCCCAGACUCCUACGGGAGGCAGCAGUGGGGAAUAUUGCACAAUGGGCGAAAGCCUGAUGCAGCGACGCCGCGUGAGGGAUGACGGCCUUCGGGUUGUAAACCUCUUUCAGCAGGGAAGAAGCGAAAGUGACGGUACCUGCAGAAGAAGCGCCGGCUAACUACGUGCCAGCAGCCGCGGUAAUACGUAGGGCGCAAGCGUUGUCCGGAAUUAUUGGGCGUAAAGAGCUCGUAGGCGGCUUGUCACGUCGGUUGUGAAAGCCCGGGGCUUAACCCCGGGUCUGCAGUCGAUACGGGCAGGCUAGAGUUCGGUAGGGGAGAUCGGAAUUCCUGGUGUAGCGGUGAAAUGCGCAGAUAUCAGGAGGAACACCGGUGGCGAAGGCGGAUCUCUGGGCCGAUACUGACGCUGAGGAGCGAAAGCGUGGGGAGCGAACAGGAUUAGAUACCCCAGUAGUCC